UACGUAGGGGGCAAGCGUUAUCCGGAUUUACUGGGUGUAAAGGGAGCGUAGACGGCCUUGCAAGUCUGGUGUGAAAGCCCGGGGCUCAACCCCGGGACUGCAUUGGAAACUGCAUGGCUGGAGUGCAGGAGAGGUAAGCGGAGUUCCUAGUGUAGCGGUGAAAUGCGUAGAUAUUAGGAGGAACACCAGUGGCGAAGGCGGCUUACUGGACUGUAACUGACGUUGAGGCUCGAAAGCGUGGGGAGCAAACAGG
Molecule: ribosomal RNA, 253 nt
Filed under: uncultured bacterium
Lineage: Bacteria
Description: partial 16S ribosomal RNA
Rfam family: Bacterial small subunit ribosomal RNA
Source: RNAcentral